Molecule: long non-coding RNA, 235 nt
Filed under: Pan troglodytes (chimpanzee)
Lineage: Eukaryota; Metazoa; Chordata; Mammalia; Primates; Hominidae
Description: long non-coding RNA NONPTRT015506
Source: RNAcentral
UAUUCAUGAACCGCGCCAUGCUGCAGCCAGGGCUCGCUACUGCAGGUGGCUGUUACAUCAGUAAUUGCUCAAUACUUCCCUCCACAGCGUAAAAUUGUUUUCAUUAUGUGUCAUGAACACAGAGCCAAGCAAAGCCCUCUUGAGUUAGAAUAUCUUCAUAUAUUUUUGAAGAAAGAAGAGGCUGACCAAUUAAGAGGAGUGAAAUUUGGAGGAAAUUACUAACCUGAUAAUUAGA